This 107-nucleotide transfer RNA is filed under the name Colletotrichum fructicola Nara gc5. RNAcentral's name for it is "tRNA-Tyr for anticodon GUA". The record is from RNAcentral. Lineage: Eukaryota; Fungi; Ascomycota; Sordariomycetes; Glomerellales; Glomerellaceae.
CUCCCCUUGGUGUAGUUGGUUCAUUCAUCACGUUCGACUGUAAUGGUUACGACUGUAAUGGUUACAUUGUCAUCGAAAGGUCUCUAGUUCGAUUCUGGAAGGGGAGA